This 300-nucleotide ribosomal RNA is filed under the name uncultured Enterococcus sp. RNAcentral describes it as "bacterial SSU rRNA". It matches the Rfam family "Bacterial small subunit ribosomal RNA", at positions 502 to 795 of the family's 1533-position model. Lineage: Bacteria; Bacillati; Bacillota; Bacilli; Lactobacillales; Enterococcaceae. The record is from RNAcentral.
UUUGUGUCUGGAUGCGAGUGCGCUGUAAUACCGAGGUAGCAGGCGUUGUUUGGAUUCCGUGGUCGUAAAGGGUGAGUAGGCGGGUGGGUAAGGCUUAUGGGACAGCGUACGGGGGAGCUGGGGAACUGAGUGGUAUACUAGUCGGCUUGAUGCCUGGAGGGGGGACGGGAAUUCGCGGGGUAGCAGUGAGAGGCGUAGAUGUCGAGGGGAACACCAGUGGCGAAGGCGAGUCCCUGGACAGGUCCUGACGCUGAGGCACGAAAGCUAGGGGAGCAAACAGGAUUAGAUACCCUGGUAGUC